This 350-nucleotide ribosomal RNA is filed under the name uncultured bacterium. RNAcentral describes it as "bacterial SSU rRNA". It matches the Rfam family "Bacterial small subunit ribosomal RNA", at positions 355 to 722 of the family's 1533-position model. The record is from RNAcentral.
UGGGGAAUAUUGCGCAAUGGGGGAAACCCUGACGCAGCCAUGCCGCGUGAGUGACGAAGGCCUUAGGGUUGUAAAGCUCUUUCGCUAGGGAAGAUAAUGACGGUACCUAGUAAAGAAGCCCCGGCUAACUCCGUGCCAGCAGCCGCGGUAAUACGGAGGGGGCUAGCGUUGUUCGGAAUCACUGGGCGUAAAGCGCGCGUAGGCGGACUGAUUAGUUGGGGGUGAAAGCCCGGAGCUCAACUCCGGAACUGCCUCCAAUACUGUCAGUCUUGAGGUCGAGAGAGGUAAGCGGAAUUCCGAGUGUAGAGGUGAAAUUCGUAGAUAUUCGGAAGAACACCAGUGGCGAAGGC